AAGUCAAGGCUCAUGUUUGGGGGAUUGGAGAGCUAUAUUCACUCUGGGGUUUGCUAUAAUCACUAUACUCCCUUGGAGUACAACACUUGCUCUUGUAAGAGCAACCUGCUUUGCUCUCUGGACUUGGAGAGGUCUAUCCACUGGAAGCUGGAUCCUGGUCUUGGAGCCAGGGUGGGUGGAGGACAGCAAGACCCCAACCAAGCUGCGGUGGUUUGUGG
Pelobates cultripes (western spadefoot toad) is the source of this 218-nucleotide non-coding RNA. The record is from the annotation of a GenBank genome assembly. NCBI's taxonomy places the organism in Eukaryota, Metazoa, Chordata, Amphibia, Anura, Pelobatidae.